This 1184-nucleotide ribosomal RNA is filed under the name uncultured bacterium. Its description in RNAcentral is "bacterial SSU rRNA". It matches the Rfam family "Bacterial small subunit ribosomal RNA", at positions 234 to 1437 of the family's 1533-position model. The record is from RNAcentral.
CGUCCAAUUAGCUAGUUGGUGGUGUAACGGACCACCAAGGCGACGAUUGGUAGCCGAACUGAGAGGUUGAUCGGCCACAUUGGGACUGAGAUACGGCCCAGACUCCUACGGGAGGCAGCAGUGGGGAAUAUUGCGCAAUGGGGGAAACCCUGACGCAGCAACGCCGCGUGGAGGAAGAAGGUCUUCGGAUUGUAAACUCCUGUCUUCUGGGACGAUAAUGAUGGUACCUGUUGAAUAAGCCCCGGCUAACUACGUGCCAGCAGCCGCGGUAAUACGUAGGGGGCGAGCGUUGUCCGGAGUUACUGGGCGUAAAGGGUGAGUAGGCGGUAAUGUAAGUCACAUGUGAAAACCCAGGGCUUAACCUUGGGAGUGCAUUUGAAACUGAAGGGCUCGAGUGCAGGAGAGGUAAGUGGAAUUCCUAGUGUAGCGGUGAAAUGCGUAGAUAUUAGGAGGAACACCAGUGGCGAAGGCGACUUACUGGACUGUAACUGACGCUGAGACGCGAAAGCGUGGGUAGCAAACAGGAUUAGAUACCCUGGUAGUCCACGCUGUAAACGAUGAGUGCUAGGUGUAGGGGGUAUCGACUCCCUCUGUGCCGCAGUUAACGCAUUAAGCACUCCGCCUGGGGAGUACGGCCGCAAGGUUAAAACUCAAAGGAAUUGACGGGGGCCCGCACAAGCGGUGGAGUAUGUGGUUUAAUUCGAUGAUACGCGAGAAACCUUACCUGGUCUUGACAUGCUGGGAACCCUUAAGAGAGGGUGCCUGCUUGCAGGAGCCCAGACACAGGUGGUGCAUGGUUGUCGUCAGCUCGUGUCGUGAGAUGUUGGGUUAAGUCCCGCAACGAGCGCAACCCUUGUUGCUAGUUACCAGCACGUAAUGGUGGGAACUCGCGAGACUGCCGGUGACAAACCGGAGGAAGGUGGGGAUGACGUCAAAUCAUCACGCCCCUUACGACCAGGGCCACACACGUACUACAAUGCCCGGUACAGAGGGAAGCGAAACUGCGAAGUUAAGCGAACCCCUUAAAACAGGUCCCAGUUCGGAUUGUAGGCUGCAACUCGCCUACAUGAAGUUGGAAUCGCUAGUAAUCGCAGGUCAGCAUACUGCGGUGAAUACGUUCCCGGGCCUUGUACACACCGCCCGUCACACCACGAAAGUCGGCAACACCCGAAGCAGUUGAGCUA